RNAcentral lists this ribosomal RNA (580 nucleotides) under uncultured Pezizomycotina. Its description in RNAcentral is "eukaryotic LSU rRNA". It matches the Rfam family "Eukaryotic large subunit ribosomal RNA", at positions 54 to 650 of the family's 3401-position model. The record is from RNAcentral. Lineage: Eukaryota; Fungi; Ascomycota.
GAGAAAAGAAACCAACAGGGAUUACCUCAGUAACGGCGAGUGAAGCGGUAAUAGCUCAAAUUUGAAAUCUGGCCUCUUGGGGUCCGAGUUGUAAUUUGUAGAGGAUGUUUUGGGUACCGCCCCGGUUUAAAUUUCUUGGAACAGAAUGUCAAAGAGGGUGAGAAUCCCGUCUUGGACCGGUGGUAGGGCCUGUGUAAAACUCCUUCGACGAGUCGAGUUGUUUGGGAAUGCAGCUCAAAAUGGGUGGUAAAUUUCAUCUAAAGCUAAAUAUUGGCCAGAGACCGAUAGCGCACAAGUAGAGUGAUCGAAAGAUGAAAAGCACUUUGAAAAGAGAGUUAAACAGUAUGUGAAAUUGUUGAAAGGGAAGCGCUUGCAAUCAGACUUGAGCGCGGCGGUUCCCCUGACCUUUUGGUUAGGCUAUUCCGUCGUGUCCAGGCCAACAUCGGUUCUGAGGGUCGGUCAAAGGCCUUGGGAAUGUAUCUACCCACGGGUAGACUUAUAGACCAGGGUGUCAUGCGGCCUCUCGGGACCGAGGAACGCGCUUCGGCUCGGAUGUUGGCGUAAUGGUUGUCAGCGACCC